Molecule: ribosomal RNA, 465 nt
Filed under: uncultured bacterium
Lineage: Bacteria
Description: bacterial SSU rRNA
Rfam family: Bacterial small subunit ribosomal RNA
Source: RNAcentral
CCUACGGGAUGCACCAGUAGGGAAUCUUCCACAAUGGGCGCAAGCCUGAUGGAGCAACGCCGCGUGUGUGAUGAAGGCUUUCGGGUCGUAAAGCACUGUUGUAUGGGAAGAACGGGUUUAAGAGGAAAUGCUUAAACAGUGACGGUACCAUACCAGAAAGGGACGGCUAAAUACGUGCUAGCAGCCGCGGUAGUACGUAUGUCCCGAGCGUUAUCCGGAUUUAUUGGGCGUAAAGCGAGCGCAGACGGUUGCUUAAGACUGAAGUGAAAGCCCACAGCUCAACUGUGGAAUGGCUUUGGAAACUGGGCAACUUGAGUGCAGUAGAGGUAAGUGGAACUCCAUGUGUAGCGGUGGAAUGCGUAGAUAUAUGGAAGAACACCAGUGGCGAAGGCGGCUUACUGGACUGCAACUGACGUUGAGGCUCGAAAGUGUGGGUAGCAAACAGGAUUAGAUACCCCAGUAGUC